GUACGUACAAGCAGUGGGAGCACAGGUUUACCUGUGUGACUGCGUACCUUUUGUAUAAUGGGUCAGCGACUUAUAUUUGUAGCAAGGUUAACCGAAUAGGGGAGCCGGAGGGAAACCGAGUCUUAACCGGGCGUUAAGUUGCAGGGUAUAGACCCGAAACCCGGUGAUCUAGCCAUGGGCAGGUUGAAGGUUGGGUAACACUAACUGGAGGACCGAACCGAC
RNAcentral lists this ribosomal RNA (222 nucleotides) under Salmonella enterica subsp. enterica serovar Montevideo. Its description in RNAcentral is "partial 23S ribosomal RNA". It matches the Rfam family "Bacterial large subunit ribosomal RNA", at positions 560 to 783 of the family's 2925-position model. The record is from RNAcentral. Lineage: Bacteria; Pseudomonadati; Pseudomonadota; Gammaproteobacteria; Enterobacterales; Enterobacteriaceae.